CGCGUGAGUAACCUGCCUUACACAAGGGGAUAGCCUCUGGAAACGGAGAAUAAUACCCUAUGACAUUACAAUCUCGCAUGAGGAAGUAAUCAAAGUGUUUUAGCGGUGUAAGAUGGACUUGCGUCUGAUUAGCUAGUUGGUGAGAUAACAGCCCACCAAGGCAACGAUCAGUAGCCGGCUUGAGAGAGUGUACGGCCACAUUGGGACUGAGACACGGCCCAG
This 222-nucleotide ribosomal RNA is filed under the name uncultured Eubacteriales bacterium. Its description in RNAcentral is "uncultured Clostridiales bacterium partial 16S ribosomal RNA". It matches the Rfam family "Bacterial small subunit ribosomal RNA", at positions 114 to 334 of the family's 1533-position model. The record is from RNAcentral. Lineage: Bacteria; Bacillati; Bacillota; Clostridia; Eubacteriales.